UGGUGCACGGCGCCCCCUGGCGGGCCUCGGGGAGGCGGCCUCCUGCGUGCCCGGACCGCUCGCUGCGCCUUCCCGCCUGGCUUCCGGUUACCCAACCUCAUCUCGCCCGAGCCUCAUCUGUAGCUCACCGUCCUGUGCGCCCUGUGCUGUUGGCAGGGCGUGUGGGAUUUAGAGGGUUUUCUAUACUGAGUCUUCCUCGGAGCAGGUGAAUUCUGCAUAGCUGGCCCAGUUCUGUGUCUUAAGUAUGGGGAGAGAGUGGGGGCUGGAGAAAUCACUAGCAGGGGAGGAGCCCUGAGGUUGCCGAGGGGGAUCGGAGCUACUUCCCAAGGCGCCUACACCGCCCGUAGACUGGGAAACUACGGUCACAAAGGGUCAGCGCAUUCCCCAAGGUCCCAGAGCCACACGCAGCAUGGCUGGCAUUUGAAAGUCAAAGCAGAGGAAGCAGGCAGGUGGCUCUUGUUGAACUGGCUUCCAGAGUCUGUGUUGGGCAGAGAGAUCCUUCCCCGAGAGUGGAGUGGCCUCGUGCUCACCUGGGUUCAGCGUCAAGGUUCACCUGGAAUCACCUGCACUCUUGUCCUUGACCAAGGCAGGGUGGUUAGCCAUGGGCUGAUAGCCUUGGAGAGCCUGAUUCAGCCUUUGGGUAGAGCUGGGUCAGUCCAGCCUCAGGGCCAUCACUCACCCGAAGCAUUGUGGUAACCUGCCUGCCCCUGGAGACCCCGGGUGUGGGGCAGGGUGACCGUGGUGGAGAGUGGGAGCUGGCAGAGGUAAGGAGGCACACGUCUGCCACAGCACCAGAGCUCAGGGCGCCUGAGAAGCAAGGUCAUAGCGUCCUGUUCUUGGACCCCGUCAGUCUCCACAGCUAUAGGGGGCUCCAUUGAAAAGAGUGUGCCAGACCUUCUCUGUCUGUGCCCUGGUGAGGGCUCACUCACUCUCCAGGCUUGCUGGGGGAGGAGGCACGAACUUCGGUGGAAAGAACAGAACUCAGGAGCCAGAGAAUGGAGUUUGACUCCUGCCUCGGACACUCAUGUAUAAAGUGAGGAUAGUAAUACUGCUGAAUCCCUGGGUCUGUUAGAGAAUGAAGCGAG
RNAcentral lists this long non-coding RNA (1085 nucleotides) under Homo sapiens (human). RNAcentral's name for it is "LNC_000448". Lineage: Eukaryota; Metazoa; Chordata; Mammalia; Primates; Hominidae. The record is from RNAcentral.